This 719-nucleotide ribosomal RNA is filed under the name Acinetobacter sp. RNAcentral describes it as "bacterial SSU rRNA". It matches the Rfam family "Bacterial small subunit ribosomal RNA", at positions 114 to 828 of the family's 1533-position model. The record is from RNAcentral. Lineage: Bacteria; Pseudomonadati; Pseudomonadota; Gammaproteobacteria; Moraxellales; Moraxellaceae.
UGCUUAUGAAUCUGCCUAUUAGUGGGGGACAACAUCUCGAAAGGGAUGCUAAUACCGCAUACGUCCUACGGGAGAAAGCAGGGGACCUUCGGGCCUUGCGCUAAUAGAUGAGCCUAAGUCGGAUUAGCUAGUUGGUGGGGUAAAGGCCUACCAAGGCGACGAUCUGUAGCGGGUCUGAGAGGAUGAUCCGCCACACUGGGACUGACACACGGCCCACACUCCUACGGGAGGCAGCAGUGGGGAAUAUUGGACAAUGGGGGGAACCCUGAUCCAGCCAUGCCGCGUGUGUGAAGAAGGCCUUUUGGUUGUAAAGCACUUUAAGCGAGGAGGAGGCUACCGAGAUUAAUACUCUUGGAUAGUGGACGUUACUCGCAGAAUAAGCACCGGCUAACUCUGUGCCAGCAGCCGCGGUAAUACAGAGGGUGCAAGCGUUAAUCGGAUUUACUGGGCGUAAAGCGCGCGUAGGUGGCCAAUUAAGUCAAAUGUGAAAUCCCCGAGCUUAACUUGGGAAUUGCAUUCGAUACUGGUUGGCUAGAGUAUGGGAGAGGAUGGUAGAAUUCCAGGUGUAGCGGUGAAAUGCGUAGAGAUCUGGAGGAAUACCGAUGGCGAAGGCAGCCAUCUGGCCUAAUACUGACACUGAGGUGCGAAAGCAUGGGGAGCAAACAGGAAUAGAUACCCUGGUAGUCCAUGCCGUACACGAUGUCUACUAGCCGUUGGGG